GACGAACGCUGGCGGCGUGCUUAACACAUGCAAGUCGAACGAAGUGGCGAACGGGUGAGUAACGCGGAAUCAACCUGCCCUUCAGAGGGGGACAACAGUUGGACACGACUGCUAAUACCGCAUACUGAAGGAGGGGAGGGCGGCGGGAUAGCUAGUUGGAGGGGUAACGGCCCAACAAGGCGAGGAUCAGUAGCCGGGCUGGGAGGAUGAACGGCCACAUUGUGACUGGGACACGGCCCAGACCCCUACGGGAGGCAGCAGUGUGGAAUCUUCCGCAAUGGACGAAAGUCUGACGGAGCAACGCCGCGUGAGUGAUGACGGCCUUCGGGUUGUAAAGCUCUGUUAAUCGGGACGCGGUACCGGAAUAGAAAGCCACGGCUAACUACGUGCCAGCAGCCGCGGUAAUAC
RNAcentral lists this ribosomal RNA (408 nucleotides) under uncultured bacterium. Its description in RNAcentral is "partial 16S ribosomal RNA". It matches the Rfam family "Bacterial small subunit ribosomal RNA", at positions 28 to 526 of the family's 1533-position model. The record is from RNAcentral.